UGCUACUAUGCUAUGCAGUCACCUUGGGG
This 29-nucleotide non-coding RNA is filed under the name Mus musculus (house mouse). The record is from RNAcentral. Lineage: Eukaryota; Metazoa; Chordata; Mammalia; Rodentia; Muridae.